This 403-nucleotide ribosomal RNA is filed under the name uncultured Glomeromycotina. RNAcentral describes it as "SSU rRNA". It matches the Rfam family "Eukaryotic small subunit ribosomal RNA", at positions 569 to 977 of the family's 1831-position model. Lineage: Eukaryota; Fungi; Glomeromycota. The record is from RNAcentral.
CGCAGCCGCGGUAAUUCCAGCUCCAAUAGCGUAUAUUAAAGUUGUUGCAGUUAAAAAGCUCGUAGUUGAAUUUCGGGAUCAGUACGCUGGUCGUGCCUUCGGUAUGUACUGGUGUUACUGGUUCCUACCUUCUGACGAACCGUCAUGUCAUUAAUUUGGUGUGGCGGGGAAUCAGGACUGUUACUUUGAAAAAUUAGAGUGUUUAAAGCAGGCUCGCGCUUGAAUACAUUAGCAUGGAAUAAUGAAAUAGGACGUUCGAUCCUAUUUUGUUGGUUUCUAGGAUUGACGUAAUGAUUAAUAGGGAUAGUUGGGGGCAUUAGUAUUCAAUUGUCAGAGGUGAAAUUCUUGGAUUUAUUGAAGACUAACUACUGCGAAAGCAUUUGCCAAGGAUGUUUUCAUUAAU